Rosa rugosa (rugosa rose) is the source of this 363-nucleotide long non-coding RNA. RefSeq lists it as uncharacterized. The record is from RefSeq and is a predicted model, not a curated record. The transcript has 3 exons. NCBI's taxonomy places the organism in Eukaryota, Viridiplantae, Streptophyta, Magnoliopsida, Rosales, Rosaceae.
CUACUAUUCAUGUAAUCACGUUCAGAACCAGAAAGGAAGGAAGAGAGAGAGAAAGAGAAGGAGAAAGAGAAAGAAAGAAGGAAAGAAAGAAAGAAAGGGAGAUCCGUCCAAACCGUCGAUAUUUUAGAGAAACCUCAAGGGCGACGUACCGAGCUAUUGCUCGACGAAGAAACUCGUACGCUUGAUCGCCUAAAUAGUACUUUUGCAGGCGAAAUUAGUUGAGGUCGGGCGUACACUGGAGUUGAGGCAUAGUCAACAGCAUGGCUUCCGCGUUUUUCUCUUUGUUUUAGGUUUUCCUUGACUACCCUUGCUAUUAGAAUUGCUCUGAUCACCUGAGGAAUUAAUGUUAUUUAAGUUGUGAUU